Molecule: ribosomal RNA, 262 nt
Filed under: uncultured bacterium
Lineage: Bacteria
Description: partial 16S ribosomal RNA
Rfam family: Bacterial small subunit ribosomal RNA
Source: RNAcentral
GCCUACGGGGGGCAGCAGUGGGGAAUAUUGCACAAUGGGGGAAACCCUGAUGCAGCAACGCCGCGUGAGUGAAGAAGUAUUUCGGUAUGUAAAGCUCUAUCAGCAGGGAAGAAAAUGACAGUACCUGACUAAGAAGCCCCGGCUAACUACGUGCCAGCAGCCGCGGUAAUACGUAGGGGGCAAGCGUUAUCCGGAUUUACUGGGUGUAAAGGGAGCGUAGACGGCUGCGCAAGUCAGACGUGAAAGCCCGGGGCUCAACCGC